AUUGAACGCUGGCGGCAUGCUUUACACAUGCAAGUCGAACGGCAGCGCGGGCUUCGGCCUGGCGGCGAGUGGCGAACGGGUGAGUAAUGCAUCGGAACGUGCCCAGUCGUGGGGGAUAGCCCGGCGAAAGCCGGAUUAAUACCGCAUACGACCUGAGGGUGAAAGCGGGGGACCGAAAGGCCUCGCGCUAUUGGAGCGGCCGAUGUCGGAUUAGCUAGUUGGUGGGGUAAAGGCUUACCAAGGCGACGAUCCGUAGCUGGUCUGAGAGGACGACCAGCCACACUGGGACUGAGACACGGCCCAGACUCCUACGGGAGGCAGCAGUGGGGAAUUUUGGACAAAGGGGGCAACCCUGAUCCAGCCAUGCCGCGUGCGGGAAGAAGGCCUUCGGGUUGUAAAACGCUUUUGUUCGGGAAGAAAUCCUCUGGGCUAAUACCCCGGGGGGAUGACGGUACCGGAAGAAUAAGCACCGGCUAACUACGUG
RNAcentral lists this ribosomal RNA (484 nucleotides) under uncultured bacterium. Its description in RNAcentral is "partial 16S ribosomal RNA". It matches the Rfam family "Bacterial small subunit ribosomal RNA", at positions 29 to 507 of the family's 1533-position model. The record is from RNAcentral.